GGCUCGUUGGUCUAGGGGUAUGAUUCUCGCUUUGGGUGCGAGAGGUCCCGGGUUUACAUCCCGGACGAGCCC
This 72-nucleotide transfer RNA is filed under the name Saccoglossus kowalevskii. Its description in RNAcentral is "tRNA-Pro". It matches the Rfam family "tRNA". Rfam says of the family: Transfer RNA (tRNA) molecules are approximately 80 nucleotides in length. Their secondary structure includes four short double-helical elements and three loops (D, anti-codon, and T loops). Further hydrogen bonds mediate the characteristic L-shaped molecular structure. tRNAs have two regions of fundamental functional importance: the anti-codon, which is responsible for specific mRNA codon recognition, and the 3' end, to which the tRNAs corresponding amino acid is attached (by aminoacyl-tRNA synthetases). tRNAs cope with the degeneracy of the genetic code in two manners: having more than one tRNA (with a specific anti-codon) for a particular amino acid; and 'wobble' base-pairing, i.e. permitting non-standard base-pairing at the 3rd anti-codon position. The record is from RNAcentral. Lineage: Eukaryota; Metazoa; Hemichordata; Enteropneusta; Harrimaniidae.